GUGGGGAAUCUUCCGCAAUGGACGAAAGUCUGACGGAGCAACGCCGCGUGAGUGAAGAAGGUUUUCGGAUCGUAAAGCUCUUUCGUCAGGGACGAACGUAUUUCUUGUAAAUAAUGAGAGAUAGUGACGGUACCUGAAUAAGAAGCCACGGCUAACUACGUGCCAGCAGCCGCGGUAAUACGUAGGUGGCAAGCGUUGUCCGGAAUUAUUGGGCGUAAAGCGCGCGCAGGCGGGAUAUCAAGUCUGUCUUAAAAGUGCGAGGCUCAACCUCGUGAGGGGACAGAAACUGGUAUUCUUGAGUGUCGGAGAGGAAAGUGGAAUUCCAAGUGUAGCGGUGAAAUGCGUAGAGAUUUGGAAGAACACCAGUGGCGAAGGCGACUUUCUGGACGAUGUCUGACGCUGAGGCGCGAAAGCUAGGGGAGCGAACGGGAUUAGAAACCCCAGUAGUCC
This 450-nucleotide ribosomal RNA is filed under the name uncultured bacterium. Its description in RNAcentral is "partial 16S ribosomal RNA". It matches the Rfam family "Bacterial small subunit ribosomal RNA", at positions 354 to 796 of the family's 1533-position model. The record is from RNAcentral.